UAGGUCGGGUGUGUAAGCGCAGCGAUGCGUUGAGCUAACCGAUACUAAUGAACCGUGAGGCUUAACCUUACAACGCCGAAGGUGUUU
Molecule: ribosomal RNA, 87 nt
Filed under: Enterobacter cloacae
Lineage: Bacteria; Pseudomonadati; Pseudomonadota; Gammaproteobacteria; Enterobacterales; Enterobacteriaceae
Also listed under: 2 other names
Description: partial 23S ribosomal RNA
Source: RNAcentral